RNAcentral lists this ribosomal RNA (1326 nucleotides) under metagenome. RNAcentral describes it as "bacterial LSU rRNA". It matches the Rfam family "Bacterial large subunit ribosomal RNA", at positions 1578 to 2925 of the family's 2925-position model. The record is from RNAcentral.
AAUUAGUAGAGAAGCGUGUGAGCCAGCUGCCAAGAAAAGCCGCUAUUGUUUCAUAAGUACCCGUACCGUAAACCGACACAGGUGGAUGAGGAGAGAAUCCUAAGGCCGGCGGGAGAAGUGUUGUUAAGGAACUCGGCAAAAUGACUCCGUAACUUCGGGAGAAGGAGUGCCACAGAGAUGUGGCCGCAGAGAAAUGGCCCAAGCAACUGUUUAGCAAAAACACAGGUCUAUGCAAAACCGAAAGGUGAGGUAUAUGGGCUGACGCCUGCCCGGUGCUGGAAGGUUAAGAGGAGAGGUUAGAGCAAUCGAAGCUUUGAAUUUAAGCCCCAGUAAACGGCGGCCGUAACAAUAACGGUCCUAAGGUAGCGAAAUUCCUUGUCGGGUAAGUUCCGACCCGCACGAAAGGCGUAAUGAUUUGGGCACUGUCUCAACAACACACCCGGUGAAAUUGAAAUACCAGUGAAGAUGCUGGUUACCUGCGCCAGGACGGAAAGACCCCAUGGAGCUUUACUCCAGUUUGAUACUGGGAUUCGGUACUGUCUGUGCAGGAUAGGUGGGAGGCUAGGAAAUGGUGACGCCAGUUGCCAUGGAGCCAACCUUGGGAUACCACCCUUACAGUACUGGGUUUCUAACCUGCAGCCGUAACCCGGCUGGGGGACAAUGUCUGACGGGGAGUUUGACUGGGGCGGUCGCCUCCGAAAGAGUAUCGGAGGCGCUCAAAGGUUCCCUCAGAACGGUUGGAAACCGUUCGAAGAGUGCAAAGGCAGAAGGGAGCUUGACUGCGACACCGACGGGUGGAGCAGAUACGAAAGUAGGACUUAGUGAUCCGGUGGUAUAAAGUGGGAUUGCCAUCGCUCAACGGAUAAAAGCUACCCUGGGAUAACAGGCUUAUCACUCCCAAGAGUUCACAUCGACGGAGUGGUUUGGCACCUCGAUGUCGGCUCAUCGCAUCCUGGAGCUGUAGCAGGUUCCAAGGGUUGGGCUGUUCGCCCAUUAAAGCGGUACGCGAGCUGGGUUCAGAACGUCGUGAGACAGUUCGGUCCCUAUCCGGCGUGGGCGUAGGAUAUUUGAGAGGAGCUGUCCUUAGUACGAGAGGACCGGGAUGGACAAACCUCUGGUGUAUCUGUUGUUUUACCAAAGGCAUGGCAGAGUAGCCAAGUUUGGCAGGGAUAAACGCUGAAGGCAUCUAAGCGUGAAGCCCCCCUCAAGAUAAGAUAUCCCAUCUUCGGAGUAAGACCCCUUGAAGACUACAAGGUUGAUAGGCUUCAGGUGUAAGUGUGGUAACGCACUCAGCUGAGAAGUACUAAUAGGUCGAGGACUUAUCAA